Molecule: RNA transcript, 1496 nt
Organism: Drosophila busckii
Lineage: Eukaryota; Metazoa; Arthropoda; Insecta; Diptera; Drosophilidae
Gene name: arrestin domain-containing protein 3
Exons: 5
Source: RefSeq, a predicted model, not a curated record
UUAGUUCGUUGCGGCGUUUCGUUGCCCAGCUCGCGUUUUUCAUUGUAAUAUAUUGGAAAAGAUUUAUCAUUAAAAUUCCUGCACGCUACACCUAAAGCAUGAAUAUUAAUUAUCGAGUUUAAUCAACAAUGCCCUCGACUUGUGUGUUUUCUUUCGACAGACCCAAUCCGAUUUACUAUAGCGGCGAAACAAUUAAUGGUCGCGUUGUUUUAACUAACAGCAGCAACAAGUCUGUGAAUGCUGUCUAUAUAUUAUUUGAAGGCGCCGCUAAAGUGCGCUGGGAGGAGCAUCGAACCCGCACGGUUAAUGGUAGAACGGAAACCUAUACUGUGCACUUCCGUGCCUCAGAAUCGUAUUUGAAUACGUGCACUAAUGUCUUUGGCGAGGGCGAGUUUCCAGCGGGCACACAUACAUACACAUUCAGCAUACCCCUGCCGCUGGAGUGUCCGACCUCGUGUGUGGAGAAGUAUGGCAAGAUAGCGUAUGAAGUGUCACUAGUAAUGGAUCGCUCCUGGAGAUUCAACAAUGUUUUCAAACAACCACUUACAGUGCUGCAGACUUAUAAUCUCAAUAUGUACCCAGAGAUGCUCGUGCCGCUAAAGAACGAGGAUAUCAAGUAUUUCUGCUGCUGGCCUUUUUCGUCAGGUCCAGUCAUCUCUACUCUAACCAUACCAUUUGGUGGCUAUGCGCCCGGCCAGAGAAUACACUACACACUGCAAAUAGACAAUCAAUCGCACGGCUAUGAUCUGCACGGCAUCGAGUUAUCCUUGAUACAGAUCUAUGAGUUCAAGGCCACAUCACCCUCUUACAAAUCACGAAAACAUUCGAAUGUUCUUUCGGAGGAGUACCAGCCCGAGCGAGUACGUCGCCUAUCGAAGAGACUUAUAAAUGCCAGUCUGGUAAUUCCACCGGUGCCUCCGUCGACUAGACAGCAGGGCAUCAUUAAAGUGACCUAUCAGAUCAAAAUGGCCAUUAAGACCGGCGAUUGCCACAGAGAUUCGGAUAUUCAUAUGCCCAUUACAGUUGGCACAAUACCUCUGGCUCAGAGUGCCGAGAAUCCCGCAAAUGCGUCUGAAUGGAUACCUCAGACGCCAGACACUCCAGCCGGAGCCGCAGCUGAUCUGCCGCCGAGCUAUGACCAUUGCCUACCACCUUCCUUCGAAGAAGCCACUCAUAUUGGCUCCAAGUUUGUGGAUACAGAUGUCAAUGAACACAAUCGCACCGACGACUUUAUACCUCGCUAUCCAAUGUAUACAAAUUUUGCGACGCCUUCGGCGCCGUUGCUCGACGAUAGACCGGACGUACCAACAUUAAUAUUGCCGAGUGCGCCGAGACUCAAUUGAAACCCUGUAGGAAAUUUAUCAAAAUUUGUACUUACUCACGUACUAAAACCAAAGCUUUUGUCCCAUAAUUCACUUAUUUCAUAAAUAUGUCUGUGAGCCUAAAGCACCUUUUCCGUGUCGGCAUGCUCGAUCUCGUAGUAGAGAUAACGUGGC